GACGAACGCUGGCGGCGUGCUUAACACAUGCAAGUCGAACGGAAAGGCCCUGCUUUUGUGGGGUGCUCGAGUGGCGAACGGGUGAGUAACACGUGAGUAACCUGCCCUUGACUUUGGGAUAACUUCAGGAAACUGGGGCUAAUACCGGAUAGGAGCUCCUGCUGCAUGGUGGGGGUUGGAAAGUUUCGGCGGUUGGGGAUGGACUCGCGGCUUAUCAGCUUGUUGGUGGGGUAGUGGCUUACCGAGGCUUUGACGGGUAGCCGGCCUGAGAGGGUGACCGGCCACAUUGGGACUGAGAUACGGCCCAGACUCCUACGGGAGGCAGCAGUGGGGAAUAUUGCACAAUGGGCGGAAGCCUGAGGCAGCAACGCCGCGUGCGGGAUGACGGCCUUCGGGUUGUAGACCGCUUUCGCCUGUGACGAAGCGUGAGUGACGGUAAUGGGUAAAGAAGCACCGGCUAACUACGUG
Molecule: ribosomal RNA, 468 nt
Filed under: uncultured bacterium
Lineage: Bacteria
Description: partial 16S ribosomal RNA
Rfam family: Bacterial small subunit ribosomal RNA
Source: RNAcentral